GAUGAACGCUGGCGGCGUGCCUAAUACAUGCAAGUCGAGCGAACAGACGAGGAGCUUGCUCCUCUGACGUUAGCGGCGGACGGGUGAGUAACACGUGGAUAACCUACCUAUAAGACUGGGAUAACUUCGGGAAACCGGAGCUAAUACCGGAUAAUAUAUUGAACUGCAUGGUUCAAUAGUGAAAGACGGUUUUGCUGUCACUUAUAGAUGGAUCCGCGCCGCAUUAGCUAGUUGGUAAGGUAACGGCUUACCAAGGCAACGAUGCGUAGCCGACCUGAGAGGGUGAUCGGCCACACUGGAACUGAGACACGGUCCAGACUCCUAAGGGAGGCAGCAGUAGGGAAUCUUCCGCAAUGGGCGAAAGCCUGACGGAGCAACGCCGCGUGAGUGAUGAAGGUCUUCGGAUCGUAAAACUCUGUUAUUAGGGAAGAACAAAUGUGUAAGUAACUAUGCACGUCUUGACGGUACCUAAUCAGAAAGCCACGGCUAACUACGUG
This 497-nucleotide ribosomal RNA is filed under the name uncultured bacterium. Its description in RNAcentral is "partial 16S ribosomal RNA". It matches the Rfam family "Bacterial small subunit ribosomal RNA", at positions 28 to 507 of the family's 1533-position model. The record is from RNAcentral.